Molecule: long non-coding RNA, 601 nt
Filed under: Citrus x clementina
Lineage: Eukaryota; Viridiplantae; Streptophyta; Magnoliopsida; Sapindales; Rutaceae
Description: Citrus clementina (C. clementina) long non-coding RNA (CCLE_LNC005790)
Source: RNAcentral
AACGGGUGGGCUAUAGCCUUGGGGGGUGGGGCUGGCCAACUUCGUCCGCCGGACUCGGAAUUGCGCGAGACUUUGUGAGGCACCUCCGUGUGCCAAAAAUAGGCUGCGGGCACAGCCGCGUCCAAAAAUAACCUCCCGAAGGCCGGGGCGCCAAGUUCGUCCAGCGGAAAAAGCCCACAAAAACGGGUGGGCUAUAGCCUUGGGGGGUGGGGCUGGCCAACUUCGUCCGUCGGACUCGGAAUGGCGCGAUACUUUGCGAGGUGCCUCCGUGUGCCAAAAAUAGGCCAUGGGCAAAGCCGCGCCCAAAAAUAACCGCCCGAAGGCCGGGGCGCCAAGUUCGUCCAGCGGAAAAAGGCCACAAAAACGGGUGGGCUAUAGGCUUGGGGGGUGGGGCUGGCCAACUUCGUCCGCCGGACUCGGAAUGGCGCGAGACUUUGCGAGGUGCCUCCGUGUGCCAAAAAUAGGCCACGAGCAAAUCCGCGCCCAAAAAUAACCUCCCGAAGGCCGGGGCGCCAAGUUCGUCCAGCGGAAAAAGCCCACAAAAACGGGUGGGCUAUAGCCUUGGGGGGUGGGGCUGGCCAACUUCGUCCGCCGGACUCGN